Molecule: long non-coding RNA, 4578 nt
Organism: Mytilus californianus (California mussel)
Lineage: Eukaryota; Metazoa; Mollusca; Bivalvia; Mytilida; Mytilidae
Exons: 5
Source: RefSeq, a predicted model, not a curated record
AAAUUUCAUGUAUUUUAUAGCUUUUACAUACAGUUCUUCUGAAUUCCACUGGAGCAAAUUACGCUCAAUUUUUUUUAUUAUCAAACUAAAUCAAUCCGACCAUUUAUGAAAGGAUGAAUAAUGUAAGACAGUUUAUGAUUAAAAAAAAAACAGUUAUUGGUGAGUUAGUGAAUAAAACAGAGAUAUUGAAACGAUUUUUUUUUUAAUUCAAUAUAUAAAAUGCGCUUACGACACUUUAAAAAUAUUUUCUCUGAUACAGGUAUGGUUCCAUAGUUUUAUAUUUAGAUGAGUUUAAUCGUCAUUAGUAGUGCUUUAGUGAUUACUUGGCCUGACAUGUCCAAUAUCUUACAGAACGGACUGUUAGAGUCUUAUAUCUUACUUAAAACAUUGUUUAACAUGUCAACAAAAGGCAAAAAAAAAGCAACCAAAUGCAAAUUGUUGUUAAGAUUUUGUUCUUCAAGUGUGUAAAUAGUUUUGUGGAUAAACUUUAUUAUGAAUUAUCCUACAUGUUGGUCACUUUAAACAGUAGCUCAAUUUCAAAUAAUAAACAAAAAUAAAGUAUAGUUGAAGGUUAGCAACAUGUAUUGCUAAAUGUACAUGUAGACACAGUGUAUGCGUAUCACAUGUAUAAUGCUUUUUGCAUGCGCGAGUACUACUUUAUAUAUUUUCUGUGAAUACCUUCACAUGUGUUUGGUGUUUCAAAUUGAUAAAGACGAUGGAAGUAUAUUCUUAAUGCAAAACAACGAAGAAAGUGAUGUCGUAAUUAGUGAUUGUGUUGUUAUAAAUUUUGGAUUAGGAUCUAAUGGGUAUUCAGAUAUAUUCGAUUUCAGUGCGGACAACGAAGAGGAUAUAGUUAUAACAGCUAAUAAUGGCAAGUUUUAUAUAUAGAUUUUAAACUGUAGUUAUCUCCUAUUACUUCCUUAUUUUUUCAAGGGUUUUAUUUCUCAUUAGGUGAAUGACAAAAAAGAAAAACAUGUGAAGACAGGUCACGUUGAUGAAAAAGUUUCAAUCAAUUCAUUUCAAAUAUAACACUAUAAAAUAAAAUGAAUAUGCACAAAUAAAGAGAUAACAAGCGUGCAAUCAAUUUAAAUUAUUUUGUUGUUCAUCGGAAUUACCCAUCUUAUAGUAAUUUAAUGAAUUUUAAGAAAAUUAAGAUUCAAAUAUUGUAUCUUUUAAUUUAAAAAUGAAUUAAUUUAGUUAUAAUAUAUAAACUCAUCGCCAUGAAUUGUCGGGAGAUCAAUAAAUUGAUCAGACCUAUUCACCAACUAUACAUGAAAAAAAUAUAUAUUCACAAUUUUCCCGUAUGACAGUAUGAUACAGGCCCCUUCUUUCCUUCCUCGUUCACCAAAACUUAUCUCGACUCGGUGGUUGUCUUGCAUGAGACGGUUAUUGUAAACCCAAACGGUACCACCUGAAUAUCCCCCUGUUUACUGUUUUUUUUCUGCAAGGUCGUGUUGCUCUUAUUUUUGUUUGUUUGCGUAUUAAUGUCCCCUGUGUCCUUUCAUGUUACUGGAACAUAAUUUUGUCUCUCGAUUUCCCUUUACAAAUGAUGCUUUCUUUUUUCUUGCAAAAGAAAGCAUUGUAGGUGUACAUAUCGUUGUUUCUGUGCUUAAUGUAUAAUUAUUGCAUUCAGUCAAUUUUACCUAUAAGAUAUAAACUAAAGGAAAGUGUCUGAGACUGUUCGAAAAGUACAUUGGAAAGAAACAAAUGUAAUUCGUAUUUUGAUGUUAUAUAAAGUAAAACUACUUUUAUUAAUCCCCCUUUUCAAUCAAUUCAAUGCAGGAAAGGGUUUCAUGUUCAAAUUUAUAUCAAACUGUCUCAAACUUAUUUAACAAACAUAUGAUUAAAUCUAGCACCUACCUUUAUCUAGUUUCAAGAGAGGACAUCGGUUUAAAUACAAAAAAACGAUCACUACGAACAAAGUGCAAAUCGGACACAUGAUUGAUUUGUUUAACAGAUAACCUGCGGUCACGUGUUUCUUUAUUCAGCUUUCCAUAUUCAUUGUCGUUGAUAAGCGAAAUUUUGCAUUAUAUUUCUAUACAGGCAAUGAUAUCCGAUUAAAAAAAUCAUAAAAGAACUAUUACAGUCCCCUUGUUCAUGAAGCAAGAUCUCGAUUUGUCCUUUGUACACAGAGUGUGGUUUAGGUUGUAAAUCAAAUUCUUGAUUAGCUAUUUUGUACAAGGAACAAUAUGUGGUUUGCACAGCAACACUUGGUAAAACAUUUACUUCAGAUGAACCAUUUAAUCUUGAUUAUGAAACAUGUAAUACAAUUGUUUUACUUGUGGUCCUUGAAUUGCGACAUGAUCUAUCAAGCAUUAGAAGCAUUAUUUGAUUUUUUCAUUUUAAUUGUAGCUGAAAUUGAUGUUAGGAAGAAUGAGAGCAACACCAUAGGUCAAUGUUUAUAUCCUAAACGGACGAGGAUAAUCUUUUGCAACAAUAAAUACCUAAAAGCAACAAAAAACAAAACUUACAACGAGCAUUCUCAACCAAAUUGGUGCUAAAAGAGAUAACCCAAAACAUGAGAAAAUGGCUGUGGAAUAAGUAUUGGCAGUAUUAAAAUCAAUUUGAGAGUACUUUUUUUCACAAGAAACCGUCUUGUUGAGUGACAAAGUUAUUGUAUUGGAAAGUGACUUUAAUAAAAUGAUUUUGUCUAAUUGUCAUUUAUUCAGCUGUCCAAUAUUUCUAAGAAAGAGGAGGGUUAUUCUUAAAAAAAAUUCGACAGAUAAAGGUAGCAUAGUGGUUUCUUACAGGUAAAUGAUAGUCCAAUCACUGAAAUCAAGAACGGGUACAACAAUAGAAAGACGUCACAAAAAUGUUUUAAGAGAUUGUGUAGUGGUUACAUCAUGUUAUAAAUUAGACUCGUCAUGGAUAAAUAUUCGUACGAAUGAUAAAGAUAAUGAUCAUAUUUUGUGUGAAUACCAGUGUAAACAAACUCUUGCACGUUAUCGGUAUUAUGGAACAUCCGACAAGGUGUGCUAUUGUCGACUCAAGGAACUGUCUGUUUCUGACAAAAUGCUGGAUAAUAAGUGUACUAUACAAUGCCAAGGUAACCGGACGGAAGAGUGUGAAGGGACACAUAACAAGCUUAUAAAUGUCGCAGAAAUAGAUCGACCACAGCACACAGUAACUGCUUAAGUUACACAAACUACUAAUAUAACGCCUAUGGCUGUAGGAGAACCAUUUACUUCAACCUUCAUGCAGAUGAUAAGCACCGACACAUCUCCAGCAACAGUAACAAACAGUACGUCUUUAAAUACGAGAAAAUCAAUGACUUCGACUUCUGAAAAUACACAAACAUCUAUAUCAACUGAUUUUACUGAGACCGUAACACAUGCAUCAACAGGAACGCGACCACGGAAACUGUUAUGUAAAUGUCCAAAGAGGUAAAUAAAUACAAAAUGGCACUUUCUUGAUGGAAAGAAAAUAACAGAUGCUGAAGUAAAGGAAAUGGUUCUCGAAGAUUUCAACAAGAACAUAAAAUUCGAGAUCUCAGUUGACAAGAAAACUGUAUCAAAGGAGGUACGAAAGAAAAAAUCCUCGGUAAACAAAAGAAAAUCUGCACAAUCUAUAGGAUGGGGAUGCAUUGUUUUUCUCAUUCUUCCAAUGGUUUUCUUGAUCGCCAUAGAUAUACUCAACUGUUGCAUUCACUUCCGAAUACGCUUUGGUCAAAGGAAACGGAAACGAAACCGAAUUACGGCAAUUUCUGUUAUCCAAGAUCACGAAGAUAGUGAACAUCCUCCGAAGGAAAAUGUCGAUAACGCCGAGGAAUUUUAUGCAAGUAGAUGUGGCAAUAAUUUUCAUCCUGACGAAAUGAAACGUGAAACGUAUCGAAGAAGAAGGGACGACAACUAUCAGCAAAGCAGAGAUGAAUGGUUGCAGUACAUAUAGUUUUAACUAUCCUUAUAACAUUUGAAACUGUGCUCAUGUGAAUGAUUUCUAAAGAAAACUAUUGUUUUUUCUGUCUGAUAUCGUUAACAGUCGUGCGAAUGUUCAUCACACAAUUAUCUAAAAAAGUCUCUACGAACUUAAAUGAUUGUUAGUUAAAGUAAAUGGCAUGUUUUGUUAUCCCGUUUCUUUUCUCCGUUAUCUAGCCGUACAACGAUUGUAUUGACCGGGAAAAAUAUUUUAAAACGGAUGAAAAUUUAUAAUUGUAAGCAGCUUUUAAGCUUUAGAUGCAACAUCCUAUUGAUAUAUAUCGUUUACCAUUACAUAGGAUUCUUCUUUUCUCAAAAUACUUGUGUCAUAUUAACAACCAAUGCGUUAUAGUUAUGAUAUCUAAGUUUAUUGCUGCAAUAACCUUUACAUCUUUACCUGUACGUGCACUUAGAAAACACGCGUUUACUCUUCCCGUUAACUAUUUGUGGAAAUUAUAGGAUACUUUUUUUUUCUUGUUAGACAUUUUUUUUAUUUUCAAAGUUUGAAUCUAAAACCACAUUUUUUUAAAAGUACGUUCUAUCAGCAUGAUCAGAGUCUAAUGAGCUAUGUUAAUCUUGAUUUUUUAAAGGGUUUAUUCAUAUGUUGCAAAUGAAUAAAGUUUGGCUAAAAAAAUAUUUUCAUGAAUUAUUGGAUAAUUAAAAA